CCGGCGAGGUGGCCGGCCUCCUUCCUCUUGCCUCGGCGGGGGCCGCUCUCCCCGGGCAGCCUGGGGCAGGGCCGGGGGAGGCCUCUUCCUGCGCCUCUGCUCCAGCCCUGGUGGGUGGAGAUCCGGCUGCCUCCAAGAGAAUCCAGCUCUGCCCAGCGGAACUUCUGUGAUAGUGGAGACGUUCUAUAUCCGUGCUGCCCAGCGCAGUGGCCACUAGCUACAUGUGAUUGUCCAGCACUUGAAAUAUGGCUAGUGUGACAUUUGACUUAAUUUUAAUUUUAAGCUAGGAGCAUCUUUCUGACCCACGGUCUACGGUCAAGGCGUUAGCCCUGGUCCUGCAGGGGCUGGAGGGAACACGGAGCUGGCUCUGCGUGUAAGCAACUCCACCAGAGCGGGGCUGAACGGCAUCAUCCCUGCACGCAGGAACCUGUGUGUGCAGGAGCCAGUCUGGCUGACGCUCACGUAGUGGAAAUUGCCUUGGUAAUACUGGGGGUCGCUGCCUCCCAAGACAAGCUCUCCUCCGAGCAAGUGGGAAUCC
Zalophus californianus (California sea lion) is the source of this 538-nucleotide long non-coding RNA. RefSeq lists it as uncharacterized. The transcript has 4 exons. Lineage: Eukaryota; Metazoa; Chordata; Mammalia; Carnivora; Otariidae. The record is from RefSeq and is a predicted model, not a curated record.